RNAcentral lists this ribosomal RNA (18 nucleotides) under Fusarium solani. RNAcentral describes it as "partial 28S ribosomal RNA". Lineage: Eukaryota; Fungi; Ascomycota; Sordariomycetes; Hypocreales; Nectriaceae. The record is from RNAcentral.
UGACCUCGAAUCAGUAGA